GGGCCCUUGGUCUAGUGGCUAUGACAUCACCUUGACUCGGUGAGGAUCCCCGGUUCAAGUCCGGGAGGGCCCA
Molecule: transfer RNA, 73 nt
Filed under: Candidatus Woesearchaeota archaeon
Lineage: Archaea; Nanobdellati; Candidatus Woesearchaeota
Description: tRNA-Val
Rfam family: tRNA
About the family: Transfer RNA (tRNA) molecules are approximately 80 nucleotides in length. Their secondary structure includes four short double-helical elements and three loops (D, anti-codon, and T loops).
Source: RNAcentral